UUGGGUAUGUACAUGACAAGCUUUUAAUCAGUUGUGCAUGAAGAAUUUCGGUGGACGAUGAUGCAUGGCAUUGAGUAUGGAUAACGGUCUGAAUGGUUUAAAUGCAAUAUUUGUGAGAGUAGAUGCACAAGUUUGGGGAUACGAGUAAUCAAUCGUACAAGCUUUUACUCAGUUAUGCAUGAAGAAUUUUGGUUGCGGUGAUAAGGUGAUGCAUGGCACUGAGU
RNAcentral lists this long non-coding RNA (224 nucleotides) under Brassica napus (rape). RNAcentral's name for it is "long non-coding RNA (BNAP_LNC011228)". Lineage: Eukaryota; Viridiplantae; Streptophyta; Magnoliopsida; Brassicales; Brassicaceae. The record is from RNAcentral.